GCGCGAUUAGCUCAAUUGGAUAGAGCGUUGGUCUACGGAACCAAAGGUUAGGAGUUCGAGCCUCUUAUCGCGCACCA
This 77-nucleotide transfer RNA is filed under the name Clostridia bacterium. RNAcentral describes it as "tRNA-Arg". It matches the Rfam family "tRNA". Rfam says of the family: Transfer RNA (tRNA) molecules are approximately 80 nucleotides in length. Lineage: Bacteria; Bacillati; Bacillota; Clostridia. The record is from RNAcentral.